This 235-nucleotide ribosomal RNA is filed under the name uncultured bacterium. RNAcentral describes it as "partial 16S ribosomal RNA". It matches the Rfam family "Bacterial small subunit ribosomal RNA", at positions 97 to 334 of the family's 1533-position model. The record is from RNAcentral.
GGCGGACGGGUGAGUAAUACUUAGGAAUCUGCCCAUUAGUGGGGGACAACUAGAAGAAAUUCUAGCUAAUACCGCAUACGCCCUACGGGGGAAAGCGGGGGGAUCUUCGGACCUCGCGCUAAUGGAUGAGCCUAAGUCGGAUUAGCUUGUUGGUGAGGUAAAGGCUCACCAAGGCGACGAUCCGUAGCUGGUCUGAGAGGACGAUCAGCCACACUGGGACUGAGACACGGCCCAG